UGUACCCUACCUCACCCUUGAUACUCAGAUAACAUUUUGACCAUGUGAACAAAACACCCACUGCCUACAAUUAAUCAUUUCUCACGACCUCUUGUAACACAUGCUUUCAGUUAGAUGACACUACGCUUGAAAGGUGCUACGUUCAAGUGCAAGGUUGUCGGUAAAUUGUGGAUGCUUACCGAGACUGAAAGUCUCUCCUUUAACGUGUAUCACAACCAUGGGUAUCAGCACCAGCACUACAAUGUUGACCACGUGCACAAUCAUACCGGCGCUUUCCAUGAGUAUGUCCGCCGCCAGGCCUUUUUCUACUAUUAAACAAAUCAUUAUAGGAACUAUCGUAU
Topomyia yanbarensis is the source of this 341-nucleotide long non-coding RNA. RefSeq lists it as uncharacterized. The transcript has 2 exons. Lineage: Eukaryota; Metazoa; Arthropoda; Insecta; Diptera; Culicidae. The record is from RefSeq and is a predicted model, not a curated record.